This 21-nucleotide non-coding RNA is filed under the name Arabidopsis thaliana (thale cress). Lineage: Eukaryota; Viridiplantae; Streptophyta; Magnoliopsida; Brassicales; Brassicaceae. The record is from RNAcentral.
UCGAAUUUGAAGGUUUUUUGC